This 331-nucleotide ribosomal RNA is filed under the name Manga fuliginosa. RNAcentral describes it as "partial 16S large subunit ribosomal RNA". The record is from RNAcentral. Lineage: Eukaryota; Metazoa; Arthropoda; Insecta; Lepidoptera; Noctuidae.
UUAAUUGAUGACUUGUAUGAAAGAUUGGAUGAAAUAUAAACUGUCUCUUAAUUAUGAAUAGAAUUUAAUUUUUUUAUUAAAAAGUUAAAAUAAUUUAAAAAGACGAGAAGACCCUAUAGAGUUUUAUAAUUAAGUUAAUUAAAAUUAUUUAUUAAAAUAAAAUUAAAAUUAAUUUAUUUAUUUUGUUGGGGUGACAAAAAAAUAUAUAUAACUUUUUUUAAAAAUAAUAACAUUUAUAAGUGAUUAAAUGAUCCAAUAUUAUUGAUUAUAAGAAAAAAUUACCUUAGGGAUAACAGCGUAAUUUUUUUUUUUAGUUCAUAUAAAAAAAAAA